Molecule: ribosomal RNA, 655 nt
Filed under: uncultured bacterium
Lineage: Bacteria
Description: bacterial SSU rRNA
Rfam family: Bacterial small subunit ribosomal RNA
Source: RNAcentral
GAGUUUGAUCCUGGCUCAGGAUGAACGCUGGCGGCGUGCUUAACACAUGCAAGUCGAACGGAGUCAUCAUUUUUGAAGCAAUUAGCUUGCUAAGAGUGGAAAUGUUGACGACUUAGUGGCGGACGGGUGAGUAACGCGUGGGUAACCUGCCAUAUACAGGGGGAUAACACUUAGAAAUAGGUGCUAAUACCGCAUAAGCGCACAGUAUUGCAUGAGACAGUGUGAAAAACUACGGUGGUAUAUGAUGGACCCGCGUCUGAUUAGCUGGUUGGUGAGGUAACGGCCCACCAAGGCGACGAUCAGUAGCCGGCCUGAGAGGGUGGACGGCCACAUUGGGACUGAGACACGGCCCAAACUCCUACGGGAGGCAGCAGUGGGGAAUAUUGGACAAUGGGGGAAACCCUGAUCCAGCGACGCCGCGUGAGUGAAGAAGUAUUUCGGUAUGUAAAGCUCUAUCAGCAGGGAAGAAAAAAAUGACGGUACCUGACUAAGAAGCCCCGGCUAACUACGUGCCAGCAGCCGCGGUAAUACGUAGGGGGCAAGCGUUAUCCGGAUUUACUGGGUGUAAAGGGAGCGUAGACGGCAGGGCAAGUCUGAUGUGAAAGGUCGGGGCCCAACCCCGGGACUGCAUUGGAAACUGUCCGGCUGGAGUACA